This is a long non-coding RNA of Grus americana (Whooping crane), 637 nucleotides long. RefSeq lists it as uncharacterized. The transcript has 3 exons. Lineage: Eukaryota; Metazoa; Chordata; Aves; Gruiformes; Gruidae. The record is from RefSeq and is a predicted model, not a curated record.
CACUGCUGACCUUCUCCGCGUGCACGAUCUCGGUGACUGCGACCCCCUGCACUCCCACACUUUCAGAAGGGAAGGAGUGAGCUUAUAGAGCUAUCAAACCAGAAUGUGCCUGCUUGUUGCUUCUUCUGCUUCCCUGUUUCUGGGACCUUCCAUUGAAGCAACGGGGACCUCCACGUGAUUUCAAGAAACGUUUACACUCAGCUGUGUUUUAUACGGUGGGCUGCUUUCUUCUUCAUUUUCCUUAAUUUAAGAUGAACUGAAGCUCUGGGCUUCUCUGAAGAGACGUAGAAGCUGAAUGUGUGAGCUGAGCAUCCCAAAAACCUCAUGGUAAAUCCCCUCAGACAAUUAUGUCGCAAUCAGUGCAUUUGAGAAAUUAUGACAUGUUUGAAAACCCCCAAGCCUGCGACACCCAUAAGAUUUAAAUCAGAGGUGGGGAAGGUGUGUCACAUUUAAAAAAAGAAAUGGCCACAAAAGCACUUUUGUUUAAAGCCUCCCAGGUACUCUGAAAUGCGUCGUAGCAGGGGGUGAAGCCUGGGUGAGCAGGAAGCUGAUAGUAGAUGACAGUCUGCAACAGGCAUGGAGUUUGUCCAGCCUUGAACAUUGACUAUGAAUUUGAAUUUAAUGUUUGCUGAGCAGC